Vigna unguiculata (cowpea) is the source of this 476-nucleotide long non-coding RNA. RefSeq lists it as uncharacterized. The record is from RefSeq and is a predicted model, not a curated record. NCBI's taxonomy places the organism in Eukaryota, Viridiplantae, Streptophyta, Magnoliopsida, Fabales, Fabaceae.
CUUUCAGCUCAUUCAGUAUGCUCUUGUCUCCUUUUUCAAAAAACAGUUCCCUCUCCUCUCUUGUCUUCUUCUAGGAGCUCUGAUAGGGCACGAUCUUCAUCCACCUUCGAGCUAACGAAACCCAUCUAGUGCCUUCCGUUCACUGUUUGAGUUCCUGGAGCUGUAGUACCUCUUAGUUCAGAUCUGUUUGCUUUUGGUGCUCAAUAUAGAGAUGAGAGAGGUGCGCGAGGUGGAUCUGGGGAUAGCAGCAGUGCGUCUUAAAUUCUCUUGUCUUGAUGGCCUUAGGGGCAGUUUCAUGGUCAUGGGGUCUUUUGUAAUAGCUGUUUAGUGGCAACCCCUUUUGCUAAACUGUUAACUUUUCUUUACGUUUCGUUUUGGCAUGGUGGUAUGCCAAAUUUAGUUUUCAUAGUAAAAUUCUGGAUGACUGUAACAGUUACCUUUCCUACGUUUUAUGUUCAUCUGAGUGCUUCUCAUUA